AAAGAAGCAACUCUCUUAUUUCAAGUGAGCUUAUCAUGCAGUUAAAAACUUCAGUUGGACAGAACUUUUAAAUCAGGCAUGGUCACAUGAUAACAAUUGUCUCUCAAUCUGAAACUUGGUAACAAACAUAUACAAGCACUUAUUACAUAUAUCCAACAUAUGAUCGAACUUCUCCUAAUUUUGAAGCCUGAUUCUAAGUUUCUUGUUUUGCUGGAGUUCACCAUGGAAGUAAGAAAUGAAGCCCCAGAGAGACAAAACAAGAGAAAUCCCCUUCUCCACUCGGAAUUUUUCAUGGUAGAACAACACAGCUAAUGUCUCUGUCACAGGCAGCAGAGUAGCAAUUAUAAUACCAGAGAGCAACGAGGAAUGACAGAAAACGACACCAACUGCUCCCAUGAAGAAGAAUUGCCAAAAUACUGCAGUAAACACCAUCACCACAUAAUAUUUUGCUCUCCCAAGCUCGAAGUCUCUUGCCUCUCCUGGAAUUGUCGCAAAAUCCUUGUGCAGAAGCAUCCCAAUGGUGCAGAAUGCAGUAGCGAAGAAAGACAAAACCAUCUGCAUCUCCAUAACUAGAGUGUAAGUGAUGGUCUGCUUUGCUUUCUUAUAUGUCAACUCGAUCAAGGGUAGCACAAACCCAUAAAGCGCUGAAGCUCCAAGUGUCAUAAAAAAACCCAUAAAGUACUGUUUGUCGGUUUCAUGAGCAGGGCGAUCAGAACUAGCAUGGAGGACUAGGACAACAGCUCCAAUCGACAAUAAGAAAAUUGCAUUAAUGGUAAAAGGUGUGAACUUUUGCUUUACCAAAAUAUAAGCAAAUCCAGCAGUAAAGCCCAGUUGGGUAGCUAUUAUAAGAGCAGAAGUAGUGACGGGUAGAAGAGAAACACCAUAGGCAGCAAGAAAAUCAUCCAAGCCAGUAAGAACACCUAUAACAGCACAAGCUAAAAAGAGAUGAGGGCUUAUAUAGAAAAGCUUGGCCCUGGAACCCUUCUUCCUUCGACGAUACAAGUAUGAAACAAAGAGAGGAAAUAUGAUAAAUGGCCAACCAGCUGUCUGAAGAAAGCUUGAUAUCCAGACACCCUUACCACCUUUCAAGAAGUAGAGACGCUGGAUAAGGGGACCUCCACAAUUGCCUAUCGCUAACAUUGCACCGUUCACUAUGAGCAGGAAUUUCUUUAGGGAUUUGCUCAUCUUCUCUUCUUCACCUGAUACUUGGUUAUUACUAAUUUCGGUCUCCAUCUUUGCAAGCACAGUAUCUGCUCACUCUCAAGAAGCACAAUUCACAGAAUGGAUCCUGACAAUGAUAUUGAAAAAGUUCUCUAUAACAGGCUUAUUUGUACCUAUUUAAACAUAAAUUAAGGAACAUGAAGACAUCAAAAUUCUUGCAGGAUAUAAAAGUAAGGCUUGCUAAACUUACAAUGAUUCAUAUUACAUACACUUCUGGAAGCAGGAUCUGCAGGGCUUCUGCCGCAGUUAGUCUAUGAGUAAUUUCCAGGUUUUGGGGGUUUACAUGUCCAAUCAGUAAACUUCAUUUGCACUAGAAAGAGAAAUGGAUUAUUUCAGUCUAAUACACAGGGAAGAAGACAGAAUUCACAAUGGAUUAUUGCUUUUUAGCACCAUAUUGAUUUUUCCUUUUUUAUUCAUUUACCAUUGAUUUGUUCAAAUAAGAAUUUUCCCACAGUGGUAGUAUAAGCGUCUUAAAAUGCGGAGAUGAAUAUGGUCUUCCUUGGAAAACCCAAGGCGAUUUUACAAAUUCUUGAAUACCAGAUAAUACAAUAAAUUUCAAAUCUCAAAUAAUACAAAUUAUUAGGAAUCUUUGGAGAUUUGACCCUUGGAAAAUCACCUUCUAACAGAUCAUCACAUAAGAACAUAAAUAAAUACAUCCCUCUUCAGAAUUCAAAUGUAUGAAGGAAAAUUCAUUUAUCCGCACUUUCAGCCAUAUGAUUAACAUUUGAUUGAUCCAAAUUUACUCGACUCAGAACAUCACUAGCAUUGGUGGCUGAGAUUAAUAAUCAGCAAGGGAGUAUAAAAAAAAAGGACUCACAUUCAACAGUUAGGAAACUAAACAUUAAUGGCAUGCAGUUACACAAGAAAAAGAAUCAUAAAGUUACCUCCUCGAGAAUGGAAAUUGAAUGUUGAACAGAACAAGAUUUCCUAGGCUGCCACCACCUUGCAAGGAUAUAUGGAACUUGCAGUUUUUAAUACUAGCUUUGGCAGGUGCAAAUAGCUGCAGAAGACCCUUCAGCUUGAGGGACACGCAUUGCAAUGAGCUCAGUGACUGUCUUGUGGCAGUGUAACGUGGACGGCAACCAAAGUGGCCGUGGGCCGUAUAAUUUUUCUUCUUUUCAUGGAUCACCUCUAUUGCCAAGCCCAACAAUUUACAAUUCAGCACGAGCAGGAGUUUCUUCAGGAUUUGUUCAUCUGUUCCUCUUACCCAAGCAGGAUUAUACUGUGCCAAGGGCUCAUAUUAUUAGUCACAUCUAAUCCUUACAUUAGCAAGUUAAAUUUUCGAAUUUGUUUUUCUUUACCAACAUGCAGCAAAUCAUAUAUUGUUCGAGCCUCUUACCCAGAAGUAGAUAACAAAAUUAAUUAAGCCCUUGUUUUUUUGAGAUUAUAUGAAUACUAUACCAAGAAUUGAGAUUAUUGUGACAAUCUGAUUUCAUUCCCACCUAAAUAUUUGCACUAUUUCAAUCAACAUACUGUUUUACUGGGCAAAAAAAAUUGCAUAAUCUGUUACUUAAAAAAAAAAGUGAAAAUUCAGUGUUUGGUUAGUAAGAAAAUGCAAGAUUAAAAAAGAAAGAAAGAAAGUGAAAUCCAGUGUUUGGUUAUUAAGAAAAGGCAAGAUUUUCAAUCACGCAGAGAAAGAUAUGAUGAUAUGGAUGAAAUUUGAAUCGUUAGCAACCGUAUUUGAUUAAUGUAGUAUUUAAGCACAUCAUUUAAACAUGCGAGAAAAAAAUACACAAUAUAUCAAAAAAAAAUUUCAUUCCUUUCCAUUCCUUAAAUUUUCUGAGAAAACAAACAGCAAAACAGAGAAACCAAUCUAAAAUUGGAACAAUAUUUAAUUGGAAAUAAGGUACAACACUUAAUAAAGAACAAUCUUUUUUCAAAACUCUAGUGUUUUCAAGAGAAUCAAAAUGUGUACACAAAAGGCGAAAAAAGAACAAGAGGGAAAAAGAGCAAUAGAGAAAAGGCGCAUUCAAAAAUGGGUUUCCCAAUUCCAAUAUCACAGCAGCAGCAAGAAAGUGCAGAAGUUGAAGACAUGCAUAAUCUCCUUGACAUUGUCGAUAUUGAGAACUGGUUCUUUGACACCUCUUAUCUUCUAUCAGUGAAGUGUUCCCUCGUUUAAUUUGGGGAUUG
This 3351-nucleotide unclassified non-coding RNA is filed under the name Hevea brasiliensis (rubber tree). The record is from RNAcentral. Lineage: Eukaryota; Viridiplantae; Streptophyta; Magnoliopsida; Malpighiales; Euphorbiaceae.